This 507-nucleotide ribosomal RNA is filed under the name uncultured bacterium. Its description in RNAcentral is "bacterial SSU rRNA". It matches the Rfam family "Bacterial small subunit ribosomal RNA", at positions 21 to 518 of the family's 1533-position model. The record is from RNAcentral.
GGUUCAGGAUGAACGCUAGCGACAGGCUUAACACAUGCAAGUCGAGGGGCAUCACGGGAGUAGCAAUACAACUGGUGGCGACCGGCGCACGGGUGAGUAACGCGUAUGCAACCUACCUAUCAGAGGGGAAUAACCCGGCGAAAGUCGGACUAAUACCGCAUAAAACAGGGGCACCGCAUGGUGAUAUUUGUUAAAGAAAUUCGCUGAUAGAUGGGCAUGCGUUCCAUUAGGUAGUUGGUGAGGUAACGGCUCACCAAGCCGACGAUGGAUAGGGGAACUGAGAGGUUGGUCCCCCACACUGGUACUGAGACACGGACCAGACUCCUACGGGAGGCAGCAGUGAGGAAUAUUGGUCAAUGGGCGGGAGCCUGAACCAGCCAAGUCGCGUGAAAGGAAGAAGGAUCUAUGGUUCGUAAACUUCCUUUGCAGGGGAAUAAAGUGCAGGACGUGUCCUGUUUUGUAUGUACCCUGCGAAUAAGGAUCGGCUAACUCCGUGCCAGCAGCCGC